This is an RNA transcript of Cucurbita pepo subsp. pepo (vegetable marrow), 1331 nucleotides long. It is a transcript of the gene named ubiquinone biosynthesis protein COQ4 homolog, mitochondrial, with no coding region annotated. The record is from RefSeq and is a predicted model, not a curated record. Lineage: Eukaryota; Viridiplantae; Streptophyta; Magnoliopsida; Cucurbitales; Cucurbitaceae.
CCUCGUCGCUGGCUUUUGUUCGUUCGUUCGUUCUAGGAAUCGCACUCUCCGAUUCUCGUAGAAUCAUUUUUGCUUUCUUCUUUAACGCUAUCAAUCUUGGUCAGGAACGUCCGCUUUCCGUUUCUUUGCGCUUUAAUUGAAUCUCAUCUGAAGAAUUGCUUUCAAUAAAGAAGAAAGUACUGUCGGAUAUGGUAGGUGGUGCACAUAUCCAGCUCAAAAGAUGGCAGCAAGCAGCAGUUGCACUUGGUUCAGCAGUAGGUGCCUUGUUAGAUCCACGACGAGCAGAUCUAAUAGCAGCUCUUGGGGAAACAACUGGAAAGCCUGCUUUUGAAAGGGUCCUUGAAAGGAUGAAAAAAAGUGCUGAAGGCAGAGCAGUGUUGUUGGAGCGACCUCGUGUAUUAUCAUCAGAAGUUGGUCAUGCAUGGGACCUUCCAUCCAACACAUUUGGAGCUGCAUAUGCUAAUUUUAUGGGUUCCAGGAACUUUUCUCCAGAUGACCGACCUCCUGUUCGAUUCAUGGAUACUGAUGAACUCAAGUAUGUUGCCAUGCGAGCUCGUGAGGUUCAUGACUUCUGGCACACCUUGUUUGGUCUUCCCACAAACUUGAUUGGCGAGUCAGCAUUGAAGGUUAUUGAAUUUGAGCAAAUGCACCUUCCAAUGUGCAUGCUGUCUGUUUUGGGAGGCACAGCUAGAUUCAAUGACAGACAGAGAAAAUUAUUCUUCCAGCACUACUUCCCUUGGGCUAUCCGUGCUGGCAUGCAGUGCACAGAUCUCAUGUGCAUAUAUUAUGAGCGGCACUUCCACGAGGAUUUGGACGAAAUGCGGGCGAAAUGGGGAAUAAUUCCUUUACCUCCUCCCCAAAGUUAACGUUUUGCUUGACAAGUACGAUGAAGGAAAUUAUGGUCAUAGGAGCCUAACCAGGCUCAUCUCUAUCCAUCUUGAUGCUGGCUUCGUUCAUGGUUGUCAUCAGAAUAAUCUCCUGAUAAGUCCAAACUUUUCAAGGGUGAACUCUGAGAUCUCACAUUAGUUGAAGGGGUGACGAGAUAUUUCUUGCAAAGGGGGUGAAAACUCUCCCGACAUGUUUUAAAAUCUUGAGCGAAAGACAAAAAAUUUUGAAAGAUGUUGGAAAAGCUCCACUGUUUUGAAGUCUUUGUGUGUUCAUUUGUAUUGUUUUUUGUAGGGUACAUUUUUUCAUUUCAUAGCAAAAUAAUGCAUGUAGGUUUCAAUGAAUGAUAAAUAACUGACAAAUUUGUGAAAUGACCUUUAGGGCUGUUUAGUACAAAUCUGUAAGAUGGUAAAAAGAACAGAGCAACACUUGCACUGUUAAGCUCA